UCACCAAAACCCAUCACAGCGCACUACAUUUCAACUGCUGUCAUAAAAUGACUUCAGGGCUGCUUUUCCUCAGCAAGCUGCAGAUAGACUCUGUCUCGAAUUGUUUUGACAGCUCGUCAGGAUUUAUUGCCCAAAAAAGGAAAAGUUUUCAAAAUGUACCAGCUUUUCUCUGCUGUUUUGAUUCCCUGGUUCAGUUUACAUCUCUGCAGCCAGACUGAUGGAGGCAACAAUGAAAAGAAACAUGUGAGACAAAGCUGUUGGAGGAAACAACAGGCAGUUGGGCCUCAUGUGUAUCCAGAGGCUUGCUGUUCUUCACUCAGUUGAGUGGGUUUAGGAGUUUUAUCCCACAACUACUGUUUCCACCAAGAAAUUUGAUUAGGAAGAAGGUAUAAGAGGUCACAUAUGCAAUUAAAUUAUUAUCCUGUACAAUUUAGAUUUUAAAUGAUGAUGUGUGUGCUGACUGUUACAGGUGUCCACUGCACCAGAUUAGUCUCUGUUCUUUUUUGGACAUUUUGAAAAUCAGAAUUCUGGUUAAUUCAUCAUGUCAGAGUAAUGCUAUUGUUAUUUUUAGAUUGUCUACAUUUAGACUGUGCUACCACACGACAGUGAUGAAACACAAAUGGAAAAAUCUGUAACUGUUAAAAGGUCAGCAAAAGUGUAAAAUAAACAGGUCAUGUCAACCCAUCCAUAA
Acanthopagrus latus (yellowfin seabream) is the source of this 691-nucleotide long non-coding RNA. RefSeq lists it as uncharacterized. Lineage: Eukaryota; Metazoa; Chordata; Actinopteri; Spariformes; Sparidae. The record is from RefSeq and is a predicted model, not a curated record. The transcript has 2 exons.